Long non-coding RNA from Physella acuta, 408 nucleotides. RefSeq lists it as uncharacterized. The record is from RefSeq and is a predicted model, not a curated record. Lineage: Eukaryota; Metazoa; Mollusca; Gastropoda; Physidae.
CAGGGUUACACUCAAUGGCAAGACACACAGCUUGAAAGUGGUAUUCAGCACUAUAAAAGCACACAGAGUCUGAAUGAUACAUUGGAUCUACAUCAGUUUACAGUCAAAGAGGCCAUGCAAGCUUUUUUGAAAUUCCUGCAGCAAAAAGAAUAUGAAUACAACCUCUCCAAAACCAACAAUGUUGUGUUUGUCAUCACGGGGAGAGGGAAACACAGCCCUGAUGGCGUCCCUAAAAUAAAACCAGCGGUACAAGACUAUCUGGACAAACACAGUCUCUGUUUUACGUGGGUCAACCCAGGAAUGGUAAAGUUAGAUUUCUCAAAGAAGAAAUAAACUACAAUAUGUUUCCAAAAGAAAACUUAUGAAAUCAUUAAGUAUUAAGUACUCAAAACAUUUUUUUUUUCAAAA